RNAcentral lists this ribosomal RNA (1215 nucleotides) under uncultured bacterium. Its description in RNAcentral is "bacterial SSU rRNA". It matches the Rfam family "Bacterial small subunit ribosomal RNA", at positions 132 to 1320 of the family's 1533-position model. The record is from RNAcentral.
UUGAGUUGGGGAUAACCCCGCGAAAGCGGGGCUAAUACCGAAUAAUAUUUCAGUUCCUACGGGGAUUGAAAUCAAAGAUGGCUUCUGCAUGCAAGCUAUUGCUCAUAGAUGGGCCCGCGUACCAUUAGCUAGUUGGUAGAGUAAAAGCCUACCAAGGCAACGAUGGUUAGCUGGUCUGAGAGGAUGGCCAGCCACACUGGAACUGAGACACGGUCCAGACUCCUACGGGAGGCAGCAGUGGGGAAUCUUGCGCAAUGGGGGAAACCCUGACGCAGCAACGCCGCGUGGGUGAUGAAGGCCUUCGGGUCGUAAAGCCCUGUCAGGUGGGAAGAAACAUGUCGAUGCGAAUAGCGUCGACAUUUGACGGUACUACCGGAGGAAGCACCGGCUAACUCCGUGCCAGCAGCCGCGGUAAUACGGAGGGUGCUAGCGUUGUUCGGAAUUAUUGGGCGUAAAGCGCGUGCAGGCGGUCGGGUAAGUCAGAUGUGAAAGCCUUCCGCUUAACGGAAGAAGUGCAUUUGAAACUGCCUGGCUAGAGUACGGGAGAGGAGAGUGGAAUUCCCGGUGUAGAGGUGAAAUUCGUAGAUAUCGGGAGGAACACCAGUGGCGAAGGCGGCUCUCUGGUCCGAUACUGACGCUGAGACGCGAAAGCGUGGGGGAGCAAACAGGAUUAGAUACCCUGGUAGUCCACGCCGUAAACGAUGGGGCACUAAGUGUAGGAGGUAUUGACCCCUUCUGUGCCGAAGCUAACGCAUUAAGUGCCCCGCCUGGGGAGUACGGCCGCAAGGUUAAAACUCAAAGGAAUUGACGGGGGCCCGCACAAGCGGUGGAGCAUGUGGUUCAAUUCGACGCAACGCGAAGAACCUUACCUGGGCUUGACAUCCGCUGACCGUCCUGGAAACAGGAUCUUCCCCGCAAGGGGACAGCGAGACAGGUGCUGCAUGGCUGUCGUCAGCUCGUGUCGUGAGAUGUUGGGUUAAGUCCCGCAACGAGCGCAACCCUCAUCCUUAGUUUCCAUCAUUGAGUUGGGCACUCUAAGGAAACUGCCCCGGUUAACGGGGAGGAAGGUGGGGAUGACGUCAAGUCCUCAUGGCCUUUAUGUCCAGGGCUACACACGUGCUACAAUGGGCGGUACAAAGGGUUGCAAUACCGUGAGGUGGAGCUAAUCUCAAAAAGCCGCUCUCAGUUCAGAUUGAAGUCUGCAACUCGACUCCA